AAUCAACGCUGGCGGCGCGCUUAACACAUGCAAGUCGCACGAGAAAGGGAGCAAUCCUGAGUAAAGUGGCGUCCGGGUGAGUAACACGUGGGAAUCUACCUCUUGGCGGGGAAUAACCCUGGGAAACCGGGGCUAAUACCGCAUAAGCUCGUGAGAGGAAAGCAGCAAUGCACCGAGAGAGGAGCCCGCGGCCGAUUAGCUAGUUGGUGGGGUAAUGGCUCACCAAGGCGAAGAUCGGUAGCCGGCCUGAGAGGGCACACGGCCACACUGGCACUGAAACACGGGCCAGACUCCUACGGGAGGCAGCAGUGGGGAAUCUUGCACAAUGGGGGAAACCCUGAUGCAGCGACGCCGCGUGAGCGAUGAAGCCCUUCGGGGUGUAAAGCUCUUUCGACAGGAACGAUAAUGACGGUACCUGGAGAAGAAGCGGCGGCUAACUACGUG
This 444-nucleotide ribosomal RNA is filed under the name uncultured bacterium. RNAcentral's name for it is "partial 16S ribosomal RNA". It matches the Rfam family "Bacterial small subunit ribosomal RNA", at positions 29 to 507 of the family's 1533-position model. The record is from RNAcentral.